GACGAACGCUGGCGGCGUGCUUAAAACAUGCAAGUCGAACGGAACUUUUGUUCAGUGGCGAACGGCGGAGUAAUACAUAAGCAAUCUGCCCCGAAGACCGGGAUAGCCCCUCGAAAGAGGGAUUAAUACCGGAUGUGGUCCUCUCUUGGCAUCUUGAGAGGAGUAAAACGCGUAAGCGGCUUUGGGAGGAGCUUGUGGCCUAUCAGCUUGUUGGCGGGGUAACGGCCCACCAAGGCUUCGACGGGUAGCUGGUCUGAGAGGACGAUCAGCCCGACUGGGACUGAGACACGGCCCAGACUCCUACGGGAGGCAGCAGUUGGGAAUCUUGCACAAUGGGCGAAAGCCUGAUGCAGCGACGCCGCGUGGAGGACGAAGUCUCUCGGGAUGUAAACUCCUUUUGCCAGGAAAGAUAAUGACGGUACUGGUGAAUAAGCCCCGGCUAACUACGUGCCAGCAGCCG
RNAcentral lists this ribosomal RNA (460 nucleotides) under uncultured bacterium. RNAcentral's name for it is "bacterial SSU rRNA". It matches the Rfam family "Bacterial small subunit ribosomal RNA", at positions 28 to 517 of the family's 1533-position model. The record is from RNAcentral.